GAGGAAGUAGGUCAGUUGAUAGAGCAUUAGCCUUCCAAGCUGAGGGUCGCGGGUUUGAGCCCCGUCUUCCGCUCUA
This 76-nucleotide transfer RNA is filed under the name Bacteroides sp. AF16-29. RNAcentral's name for it is "tRNA-Gly". It matches the Rfam family "tRNA". From Rfam's summary of the family: Transfer RNA (tRNA) molecules are approximately 80 nucleotides in length. Their secondary structure includes four short double-helical elements and three loops (D, anti-codon, and T loops). The record is from RNAcentral. Lineage: Bacteria; Pseudomonadati; Bacteroidota; Bacteroidia; Bacteroidales; Bacteroidaceae.